CUGAGGUGGUGCAGUGGUUAGCACUGUUGCUUUGCAAUAAGGAGGUUCCAGGUUCACGUCCUGGCCGGCUAGG
This is a non-coding RNA of Gymnothorax javanicus (giant moray), 73 nucleotides long. The record is from the annotation of a GenBank genome assembly. Lineage: Eukaryota; Metazoa; Chordata; Actinopteri; Anguilliformes; Muraenidae.